AGUGAACGCUGGCGGUAGGCCUAACACAUGCAAGUCGAACGGCAGCACAGUAAGAGCUUGCCCUUACGGGUGGCGAGUGGCGGACGGGUGAGGAAUACAUCGGAAUCUACUUUUUCGUGGGGGAUAACGUAGGGACACUUACGCUAAUACCGCAUACGACCUACGGGUGAAAGCAGGGGAUCUUCGGACCUUGCGCGAUUGAAUGAGCCGAUGUCGGAUUAGCUAGUUGGCGGGGUAAAGGCCCACCAAGGCGACGAUCCGUAGCUGGUCUGAGAGGAUGAUCAGCCACACUGGAACUGGGACACGGUCCAGACUCCUACGGGAGGCAGCAGUGGGGAAUAUUGGACAAUGGGCGCAAGCCUGAUCCAGCCAUGCCGCGUGAGUGAAGAAGGCCUUCGGGUUGUAAAGCCCUUUUGUUGGGAAAGAAAAGCAGCAUGUUAAUACCCCGCUGUUCUGACGGUACCCAAAGAAUAAGCACCGGCUAACUUCGUG
Molecule: ribosomal RNA, 492 nt
Filed under: uncultured bacterium
Lineage: Bacteria
Description: partial 16S ribosomal RNA
Rfam family: Bacterial small subunit ribosomal RNA
Source: RNAcentral